UUGCCAGCAUUCAGUUGGGGUCGACUCUAGAGGGACGUGCCGGUGGUCAAACCGGAGGAAGGUGGGGAGUGACGUCAAGUCCUCAUGGCCUUUAUGUCUAGGGCUACACACGUACUACAAUGGCCGGUACAAAGGGCAGCCACUCAGCGAUGAGGCGCUAAUCCCAUAAAGCCGGUCUCAGUCCGGAUCGCAGUCUGCAACUCGACUGCGUGAAGUUGGAAUCGCUAGUAAUCGCGGAUCAGCAUGCCGCGGUGAAUACGUUCCCGGGCCUU
Molecule: ribosomal RNA, 272 nt
Filed under: uncultured Desulfovibrio sp.
Lineage: Bacteria; Pseudomonadati; Thermodesulfobacteriota; Desulfovibrionia; Desulfovibrionales; Desulfovibrionaceae
Description: partial 16S ribosomal RNA
Rfam family: Bacterial small subunit ribosomal RNA
Source: RNAcentral